GACGAACGCUGGCGGCGUGCUUAACACAUGCAAGUCGAACGGAAAGGCCCUGCUUUUGUGGGGUGCUCGAGUGGCGAACGGGUGAGUAACACGUGAGUAACCUGCCCUUGACUUUGGGAUAACUUCAGGAAACUGGGGCUAAUACCGGAUAGGAGCUCCUGCUGCAUGGUGGUGGUUGGAAAGUUUCGGCGGUUGGGGAUGGACUGGCGGCUUAUCAGCUUGUUGGUGGGGUAGUGGCUUACCAAGGCUUUGACGGGUAGCCGGCCUGAGAGGGUGACCGGCGACAUUGGGACUGAGAUACGGACCAGACUCCUACGGGAGGCAGAAGUGGGGAAUAUUGCACAGUGGGCGGAAGCCUGAUGCAGCAACGCCGCGUGCGGGAUGAUGGCCUACGGGUUGUAAACCGAUUUCGAAGGUGACGAAGAGUGAGUGACGGUAAUGGGUAAAGAAGCAACGGCUAACUACGUG
RNAcentral lists this ribosomal RNA (468 nucleotides) under uncultured bacterium. RNAcentral describes it as "partial 16S ribosomal RNA". It matches the Rfam family "Bacterial small subunit ribosomal RNA", at positions 28 to 507 of the family's 1533-position model. The record is from RNAcentral.